GUGCACAUUUCAUUGUCUUUUUUUCUUUAUGUCAAGAAAAAAGAUAAUGUGUCAUCUGCUAAGUAGGUCUUUGGAGGUAAAUUAGCAGCAUCACUAAUUUAAGUUGUUGCUUUCAGUCACAGAAAAAA
This 128-nucleotide small nucleolar RNA is filed under the name Otolemur garnettii (small-eared galago). The record is from RNAcentral. Lineage: Eukaryota; Metazoa; Chordata; Mammalia; Primates; Galagidae.